RNAcentral lists this long non-coding RNA (668 nucleotides) under Sus scrofa (pig). RNAcentral describes it as "lncRNA (ENSSSCG00015003339.1)". Lineage: Eukaryota; Metazoa; Chordata; Mammalia; Artiodactyla; Suidae. The record is from RNAcentral.
AAAAAAAAAAAAAAAAAAAAAACCCAGGCAGGAUAAACAUAAACAACCAACUUGGGUAUAUCAUAAUGAUACUGACAGCCGAAGAUGAACUGAAGAAUCUUUGGAACAGCCAGAGGAGGUUGGAGAAAAAGACACAUUUCAUUCGGGUGAACAACAAGAGGAACGAAUGCAGGAGUUCCCAUCAUGGCUCAGUGGAAACGAAUCUGACUAGGAUCCAUGAGCACAGGGGUUCGAUCCCUGGCCUCGCUCAGUGGGUUAAGGAUCCAGUAUUGUGACUGCUGUGGUGCUGGUUCAAUCCCUGGCCUGGGAACUUCUGAAUGCCGUGGGAGGAAAAGGAUGGUAUUGCAGAAAAUACAGACCUACGGAGGAAUGAAGACUGCCAAACAUGGACAGGAAAUAGAACCUUUGCCUAGAUCCAGGCAGCGGGAACCUUGUAGGCCUCACGAUGGUGUUUGUAAAGAUGAACCUUGUGCAUGACGAGCAGUCACCUGGAUUCGCCCUCAGACGGCACGGGUCAGCCAGCUGCCCGGGACCCGCCGCAGCGAACCGCUUCCGCAGAGCGCGUUACCCGUGUCGGAACGUGAACAGUGGUUGGGAAACAUCAUUCCGGAGGGAGAUGCUGUGUGGCCAGAGGACACGGGAUCAGUAAAGCUGUUGAAAAGGUGGCG